Molecule: ribosomal RNA, 253 nt
Filed under: uncultured bacterium
Lineage: Bacteria
Description: partial 16S ribosomal RNA
Rfam family: Bacterial small subunit ribosomal RNA
Source: RNAcentral
UACGUAGGUGACAAGCGUUGUCCGGAUUUACUGGGCGUAAAGAGCGCGCAGGCGGUCGAUCAAGUCGAGUGUGAAAGCCCCCGGCUCAACUGGGGAGGGUCAUUCGAUACUGAUCGACUCGAAGGCAGGAGAGGGUAGUGGAAUUCCCGGUGUAGUGGUGAAAUGCGUAGAUAUCCGGAGGAACACCGGUGGCGAAGGCGGCUUCCUGGACCGACACUGACGCUGAGGCGCGAAAGCUAGGGGAGCAAACGGG